CACACACACAUACACACACUCCCCAGUUAUUAGAAAGCAUAAGGAGAGCUGAAUGCAGCAGUGCUGUGUGACAGAGACGAGGAGAGGAGGUGAGGCGAGGAGAAGCAAAGAGAGGAGAGUAGACGAGAGGGCGAGAAGAGGAGAGGCAAGGAGAGCCAACUGACAAAGACAGAGUGCCGCCGCCUGCUUUGUUUGUGAAGAGAGCGAGAGAGAGAGAGAGAGAGAGAGAAAUAUAGAAAGAACAAGAGACAGAAAGAGGAGACUGCAAGGAACAUUAACUAGUCAUUUGUCUCGCUGUCUGUCACAUAACAAGGCACGGAAGGAGCGAAGGUCAUUGAUACUGACGGUGAUCUGCGUCACUCACCUCUUUGAGGGACACCACUCCGAUGAGUCGUCCAAUGCUGGUGACGUAGGCAUGGUCCAACCCCAGCAG
Molecule: long non-coding RNA, 433 nt
Organism: Salvelinus fontinalis (brook trout)
Lineage: Eukaryota; Metazoa; Chordata; Actinopteri; Salmoniformes; Salmonidae
Exons: 3
Source: RefSeq, a predicted model, not a curated record